CGAACCCGCGCGGGAGAGUCCGGACGGCCCACCGGCCGCACCGGCGCCGAAGGAGCAAAUCCUCCCCGGAACCUCUCAGGCAAACGGACCGCGUGGGUGAG
Molecule: non-coding RNA, 101 nt
Filed under: Actinokineospora spheciospongiae
Lineage: Bacteria; Bacillati; Actinomycetota; Actinomycetes; Pseudonocardiales; Pseudonocardiaceae
Description: Glycine sequence
Rfam family: Glycine riboswitch aptamer
About the family: This family represents the bacterial glycine riboswitch. Glycine riboswitches usually consist of two metabolite-binding aptamers domains with similar structures in tandem.
Source: Rfam by way of RNAcentral